CCCUUAGAUGUUCUGGGCCGCACGCGCGCUACACUGACGAAGUCAGCGAGCAUGUCCUACGCCGACAGGUGCGGGGAAUCUUGGCAAACUUCGUCGUGAUGGGGAUUGAUUAUUGAAAUUCUUGAUCAUCAACGAGGAAUUCCUAGUAAGCGCAAGUCAGCAGCUUGCGUUGAUUACGUCCCUGCCCUUUGUACACACCGCCCGUCGCUACUACCGAUUGAAUGGUUUAGUGAGAUCUUCGGAUUGGCGCCACUGCGGCUCAGCAAUGGGCUCGGUGGAUGCCGAAAAGUUGAUCAAACUUGAUCAUUUAGAGGAAGUAAAAGUCGUAACA
This 331-nucleotide ribosomal RNA is filed under the name uncultured eukaryote. RNAcentral's name for it is "partial 18S ribosomal RNA". It matches the Rfam family "Eukaryotic small subunit ribosomal RNA", at positions 1470 to 1796 of the family's 1831-position model. The record is from RNAcentral.